RNAcentral lists this ribosomal RNA (484 nucleotides) under uncultured bacterium. RNAcentral's name for it is "partial 16S ribosomal RNA". It matches the Rfam family "Bacterial small subunit ribosomal RNA", at positions 30 to 507 of the family's 1533-position model. The record is from RNAcentral.
AUUGAACGCUGGCGGCAGGCCUAACACAUGCAAGUCGAGCGGAUGAAGGGAGCUUGCUCCUGGAUUCAGCGGCGGACGGGUGAGUAAUGCCUAGGAAUCUGCCUGGUAGUGGGGGAUAACGUCCGGAAACGGGCGCUAAUACCGCAUACGUCCUGAGGGAGAAAGUGGGGGAUCUUCGGACCUCUCGCUAUCAGAUGAGCCUAGGUCGGAUUAGCUAGUUGGUGGGGUAAAGGCCUACCAAGGCGACGAUCCGUAACUGGUCUGAGAGGAUGAUCAGUCACACUGGAACUGAGACACGGUCCAGACUCCUACGGGAGGCAGCAGUGGGGAAUAUUGGACAAAGGGCGAAAGCCUGAUCCAGCCAUGCCGCGUGUGUGAAGAAGGUCUUCGGAUUGUAAAGCACUUUAAGUUGGGAGGAAGGGCAGUAAGUUAAUACCUUGCUGUUUUGACGUUACCAACAGAAUAAGCACCGGCUAACUUCGUG